UACGUAGGGUGCGAGCGUUGUCCGGAAUUAUUGGGCGUAAAGGGCGCGUAGGCGGCCUGGCAAGUGACGGGUGAAAGCCCUCGGCUCAACCGAGGAACUGCCUGUCAUACUGCCGGGCUUGAGUCCGGGAGAGGUGAGUGGAAUUCCCAGUGUAGCGGUGAAAUGCGUAGAUAUUGGGAGGAACACCAGUGGCGAAGGCGGCUCACUGGACCGGAACUGACGCUGAGGCGCGAAAGCGUGGGGAGCAAACAGG
This 253-nucleotide ribosomal RNA is filed under the name uncultured bacterium. RNAcentral's name for it is "partial 16S ribosomal RNA". It matches the Rfam family "Bacterial small subunit ribosomal RNA", at positions 524 to 776 of the family's 1533-position model. The record is from RNAcentral.